GACGAACGCUGGCGGCGUGCUUAACACAUGCAAGUCGAACGGAAAGGCCCUGCUUUUGUGGGGUGCUCGAGUGGCGAACGGGUGAGUAACACGUGAGUAACCUGCCCUUGACUUUGGGAUAACUUCAGGAAACUGGGGCUAAUACCGGAUAGGAGCUCCUGCUGCAUGGUGGGGGUUGGAAAGUUUCGGCGGUUGGGGAUGGACUCGCGGCUUAUCAGCUUGCUGGUGGGGUAGUGGCUUACCAAGGCUUUGACGGGUAGCCGGCCUGAGAGGGUGACCGGCCACGUGGGGAGGUGAUGACGGCCCGAGCCCCGCGGGGGGGGAAAGGGGGGGAAUAUUGACCAAGGGGGGGAAGCCUGAUCCACCAACCCCGGGGGCGGAAAGGGGGCCUUCGGGUUGAAAACCGGUUUCCCCGGUGAAGAAGCGUGAGGGGCGGUAAUGGGUAAAGAAGCACCGGCUAACUGCGG
Molecule: ribosomal RNA, 467 nt
Filed under: uncultured bacterium
Lineage: Bacteria
Description: partial 16S ribosomal RNA
Rfam family: Bacterial small subunit ribosomal RNA
Source: RNAcentral